AUGAGGAAGGUGAUAGCACAGUCAGCAAUCAAGUUCUUCAGGUCGAUUGUUUGCCGUUUCGGGAUCCCUAAUAGGAUCAUCACCGACAACGGCACACAAUUCACGAGCCGCACCUUCAUGCAGUACGUCCAAGAUCUUGGCGCCAAGGUCUGCUUCGCUUCUGUUGCUCAUCCGAGAAGCAAUGGUCAAGCGGAGAGGGCAAAUGCUGAAGUGCUGCGCGGGCUCAAGACCAGGACUUUCGACAGGCUGCACAGGUGCGGAAAGAACUGGAUUGAGGAGCUGCCGGUGGUUCUUUGGUCGAUCAGGACGACACCAAAUCGAGCCACUGGCCAGACACCUUUCGCUCUAGUCUAUGGAGCAGAGGCAGUUCUCCCCACGAAACUCGUAUAUGGGUCACCUCGAGUGCUCGCUUAUGAUGAGCUCGAGCAAGAGCAGUUGCGGAAGAUGACGCGCUGCUCCUUGAGGAAGACCAUCUUCAGGCUGCUGUACGAGCUGCUCGAUACCAGCAAGCUUUGCGCCGCUACCAUAGCCGCAAAGUUAAUGCCAGAAGUUUCGAGGAAGGCGACCUUGUUCUUUGGCGCGUUCAGUCCGCCAAGAAUUCCAACAAGUUGA
This 612-nucleotide ribosomal RNA is filed under the name Triticum aestivum (bread wheat). Its description in RNAcentral is "partial small subunit ribosomal RNA". Lineage: Eukaryota; Viridiplantae; Streptophyta; Magnoliopsida; Poales; Poaceae. The record is from RNAcentral.